UUAUCUUUGCUGGGGACUUAGUCAAGGUUGGAGGUGUUUGUUGUCAAGGUGGCCGCCUUAACUAAAAAGCGCUGGGGGAAACCCUGGAUGAUCUUAUGCACUCAGUAUACCCAUUCGGAAUGAAAGGACCUGAGUAGUAAUUGACAUUUAUGUUUGAACACCCCACCUUUCCAGGAUAGGGCAGAACUACAGGACAACUCACAAGAUCACAUUAGUCGGCCCACUGCUUCCCAUAGAGAAGUUACAGAUGAUGUCAACAGUAGGAGCUCUUCUACACCUAGGCUUUUGGAUUCUGCCCUUCAACAGAAUACCAGUCAUGAUGAUGACAUCAACACAGAUGGUCACAUGAGUAACACUUCGACCAAUGGAGAGGAAGAACUCAACAAUUCCAGCAGUGAAGAUGAACUUGAUAGUGAGAACUCUUCCACGACCAGCCUGUUGGAUAUGGACAUUCAAGAGAAUGAUAAUAACCACAUUGACACAGAAGACCACUGGAGUAACACAUCCAGCAGUGAAAAUGAAGAUGAUGAACUUG
Molecule: long non-coding RNA, 535 nt
Organism: Megalops cyprinoides (Indo-Pacific tarpon)
Lineage: Eukaryota; Metazoa; Chordata; Actinopteri; Elopiformes; Megalopidae
Exons: 3
Source: RefSeq, a predicted model, not a curated record